GACGAACGCUGGCGGCGUGCUUAACACAUGCAAGUCGAACGGAAAGGCCCUGCUUUUGUGGGGUGCUCGAGUGGCGAACGGGUGAGUAACACGUGAGUAACCUGCCCUUGACUUUGGGAUAACUUCAGGAAACUGGGGCUAAUACCGGAUAGGAGCUCCUGCUGCAUGGUGGGGGUUGGAAAGUUUCGGCGGUUGGGGAUGGACUCGCGGCUUAUCAGCUUGUUGGUGGGGUAGUGGCUUACCAAGGCUUUGACGGGUAGCCGGCCUGAGAGGGUGACCGGCCACAUUGGGACUGGGAUGGGGCCCAGACCCCUACGGGAGGCAGCGGUGGGGAAUAUUGCACAAUGGGCGGAAGCCUGAUGCAGCAACGCCGGGUGGGGGAUGACGGCCUUCGGGUUGUAAACCGCUUUCGCCUGUGACGAAGCGUGGGUGACGGUAAUGGGUAAAGAAGCACCGGCUAACUACGU
RNAcentral lists this ribosomal RNA (467 nucleotides) under uncultured bacterium. RNAcentral describes it as "partial 16S ribosomal RNA". It matches the Rfam family "Bacterial small subunit ribosomal RNA", at positions 28 to 506 of the family's 1533-position model. The record is from RNAcentral.